Molecule: long non-coding RNA, 4114 nt
Organism: Columba livia (rock pigeon)
Lineage: Eukaryota; Metazoa; Chordata; Aves; Columbiformes; Columbidae
Exons: 3
Source: RefSeq, a predicted model, not a curated record
GGCUGGAAGGAUGAGGAGCCCAGAGAGCGUGAUAGCGUGUGCUUGGUGUUUUGGAGCGUGGGGGAGAAACCUGGAGGGUCUGUCAGCUUGUGCCCCCUCGGCUCUCUGCAGCUGUGGGUUUUUACCAGAGCUCUUCCAAGGCUCACAGCACGGCUGCCCAGCCCCACCAAGGGUUUGGCGAUGGCACAGGGAGCCUAUAAAAGGGUCCCUUAAUGGGAACUAACAGAUUGAGGUUACAGGGGAAGAACUAAGUGUUCUUAUUCCUCUACACUCGGCAGCACCUGGUGCAAUCCUCCAGCCCCUCUUGCACCCACGUUCCCUCUUGGGAGCGAGGAUGGAGGCACUUCUGGUUGCGGCACAGCCAAAACGCAUCGUAACCCCAUCCCGGACAAAGGCUGGCACUACGGAGUCAGUGACACCACCCAAAGCAUCGCGGAGCUGCUUCCCCCCACCAAUCUCGGGCGCUUUGCAGCGCGUGGGAGAACCAAGGCACAAGGAAGCUCUCUCUGCCUCACCAUGCUGAAUCCAUCCCAUGGCCUCCCUGCGUCCUCGGCCCGGGAAAAGGUGAAAAGAUCCUGGGCUGAGCUCUGCUCUGAGAGCGCGGAGAAAAGAGCCUUGGAAAGGUACAGGGGGACCUCAGCAGACACGGUCCUGCCUUCUCCUGCUUGGAAACUCUCGGUGUGGCUCCGGACCAGAGGAGGCGACUUCAACACCUCACUGUCCCAGGGCUGUUUUCUCUUACCUCCCCCAGCAGAAACGACAUUGGGUUUCACGCCACGCACAAAGAACUCAGAGGUGGACAGCAAGGCCAGGUUGAUCUCCUGGCUGGUGGGUGCUGGAAGCAGAGGGCACCAUCCCCAUCACCCAAGCACCCCGGGGUGUCAGGGCUGAUUUUACAUAGGACUCACAUUUUGCUUGUUCAACUCCCUAAAGCAGCUGGCUGUGGGCUCAGAUUGGUACUAGCAACCGGGGAAGAGUGUGGCUGGGGUGGCUGAGCCCUUAACGGUGAGGGGGACGGUGCCCGUGUCCCCAGGCCGGGUACCCACCACCCCCUGCAGCGGCUCUGCCGCCUCCAACCUCCCGAGGUUUCCUGCGGAGUUUCGCAGCGCUGCGAGUCGGAAACCCCCACCACACCGGUCCCUGGAAACGCCAAACAGAGCCAGUUCGAAGCAUUAAAGCGGCUGCUUCCUGGCAAAGGGGAAUUUGGCUUCUCUGUAUAAGUCUGGCGUUGCAAUCUCAGUUUCCCAGGUUGUAAUGGAGGGGAAAACAUCAGCAAUCGGGCUUCACACCAGCAAAUCUCCCUGCCCCGUCCUGGCCCCUGGGCUGGAAUAACUCUACGUGCUCCCACGCUUCAUCCUUCCUCCACGCAGGCUUUGGCAGCUGGUUUUAAGACUCCUUAAGCGCACCUCCAGCAUCCAGCAUGAACCAGCAAGAGGCACUUUUUAACAACCAGAUGUGAUCUCCAAAACAAAGCAGCGCUCGGAAAAGAUCCCUCCAACAAACCCUCUCUGCUCAGCACCUGCUCACCCCAUUACCUGGCCCCUGUCCAGUUUGUUUGAUUAAAGUCUAUCUAUUAAAUUUUGCGUCUAUAGAAAGCCCUGCUCAGCAAAGCACAGGAUUGGCACUGGUUUGUAAAGGGGGCUGGAACAGCUUAUAGGCGAGUGAGCCAAACACUUUGGGAUAUUCACAGGCAAAGUAAUCCAAGUCCACGGCUCCCAUCGGCACCUGGGCAGCCGGCACUCCAGAACGUGUAAUCACCAUCCCGGCAGCAGGUGCAUUUUCCAAGCAGAGCUGAACCCGCUAACACGCCUGUUUGCAUUUGCCAUCCCCAAACAGCACUCAUUUCCAUUUUAAUUUUCCAUUUACAAUCCUCACCGGGCCAGGCGAGUCGGCAGCGAUGUGAGCGGGAUGCAGGGGCUGGGGACGUGAGCUCGACAGCCCAUCAACAGACCGUGACUUUGGCAAAAAAAAUGAGAGCAGCGAAAGAGCUGGCGCAGGAGCAGCACAAGGAGGGGAAGUGGCAACAAGGGCUGUGCUACACUCAGCACUUUUUAAAAAUGGUCUCAGCAAAGGCUCUGAAUCAGGGCCAGGACGUAAAGUCACCCCGUGCUGCCCACAGCCCCGGCUCUCCGGAGCUCCCCGACACGCGGCUGCAGGCUGCUGGGGUUCAGCGUCCUCCUCCUAAAUCCCAGAGCUGCAAACACUCUUGGCGUGACUGGAACAGAUCGUGCUGAUAGCACAAAUCUCCAGAGAGCGGUGUGAAGUGGCACCUCAUGCUACAGACACCAGAAGCUGCAAAAAGCAACAGACGAAGCACCGUCUCCAACUCCUAUGGCCGGCACCUGCCUUGAAGGACAUGCGUGGGCUCCAAUCACAGCCCAGAUGUCCCUGGUGUCACCACAGCUCUCGGGGCCAGAGAGGCCGAGCGUGCCCCCCGUACCACCGCACGUCUCCCCCAAAAUCCCCCAGCGAGGUUCAUCAAAAACAAACCAGCACCAAGACGGCCAGAAGCCAGCCCCACCAGCCUGUGCCAAUCCAGUGGUCAGACACUGUCCAUCCCCGACGGCUGGGUUAGCUCCAGCAGAGCCGACAGGAGAAAGAAAAAAGAGCAACUCACCUUUUUUAGCUGUCUCCAUCUCCUCUUCGGUCCAGCGAGAGCUUUCAUUCAUCUCCAGAGAAGCUGGAAGGAAGAAGGAAAGAAGAGCACUCAGCAAACCCAGCGAGCUCAGAGAUGCUCAAACACCCAAAGCCCGUCCAGUGCCCGGUUUCCCAGAGGCACGACAGAACGCUGUGCCGAGCAAACAUACUUCUGCAGAGAAGGCUGUCGCGAUGGGGGCUCUCAAGGCUUUUCCACGCACAGUAACCCGUGCACAGCAUCCCCCCAGGAUGCGUCUCAGUGAUGCAAAACCUCUACUUUGGGAGUGGAAGCGAAGCCAGAUGGCUUGAGGGUGGCAGCAGAUUUCCUGCGGAUUCGGUGCCAUGCACCCUGGCCCGCCAACAACAGGUACCGAAGACGGAGCCGACUCCGGCUGUGUGCUUUGGAGGUGGCAGACGCAGGGUGGGACCGUCACCCUCGGCGGAGACGGAGAAACAGCAUCACCUUGGCACUGACUUUGGCUGAGCGUGCUUGACUGCGGGCUCCCUCAGAGCCACCGGCGGGCUCUGGGGCACCUCAGAGCCGCUUCCAGCAAUGCCGGGGGGUUCACCCGGAGCGGUGCCCAUCGCAGCGGGACCAUGCUGCUCCGGCCGGGGGAGUCGAGGGGUGUCAGCACCCGAUGCUCCCCCUCUACCGCACCCUGCGGCCGGGGACAUCAAGGUCCUGCAUAAAGCCUUCACUAUGCACCAGUCCCGCUGGCAGCCUGGCACUAGAGCAAACCCUACAAUAACAAACCAGGGUGUGAGUCAGAGGCAAAAAACAACUCGGUAAGGAAACAGAUUUCCGGCUCAGGCUGCCAAGGGGUUAUUACUCUAAACAACAGGCAAAGCAUUAUUUCAACAGUGAUGAGAGAUGUUUUGACAGUGUCCUUUUAAAAUGGAAAACAGGCUGAUAGGUUCAGGAUAAAGAAUAUGGGUGAGGAGAGAAGGAAGCGUCUUCCAAGAAGCUCUACAAGAAGCCAAGACCCUGCAGGAGGACAACACGGACUCGGAUGCCCACGGCAUGAGGCAGAGGAAUCUCCUUCACAGGCGGCUGAGCACAACCGCAGGUGUCACCUCCUGAAGCCAGCGCAGGUCACCACCUCCCCCAGAAACGCUGUCCCUGGGGACACUGGCCAAGAGGGAGGGAAAUGGAUACCUCACCAUGUCCCCCGGCCGAGCCACGGCCACGAUGCUCGUUUACGUAAAAGUGAGCGUCCCCGCCGCGCCACGCGAGGCCCUUCACUCAGCUUGAGGAUGACUGUUAUUGCAUGGUAAAGAAACGCCAAAGAAAUGGCCCGUUUGGUUUGAUUAAUGGUAUUUACUGAGGUUGCGCAGUUAUGAAACAGAUGCCUACGGGGAGCUCCAGCAUGCUGCAGUUAAACCACAAUACGGUUUUGUGUUGUUUUUUAAUGUUCAAUUGGUAUUUAAAACGCAAUAACUUUCUUAGCCAACCUAAAUUAAAGCACUAUUGGAGAGA